GUGCCAAUGGUAAGAAGUAAAUGUGCCCUUAAAACAUAUGUUCCUUAUCACCAACAAAACGAAGGCCAGGCCAUAUGAGAAAGAAACUGAACUGAGUCAUUUCAAUGAUGCAACUCACAUCAAAUGCAACUGAUAGAAUUCUUUAUUUCAAAAUUCAAAACCACAUACAGUUUACUUCAAUGUCUUUUAGUUGAUAAAACCAUGAUUGAUCAAGAAUAAUAAAGGUCAGUGAUGACCACCACCACCACCAUCUACACCUUCCUUUUUCUUUUGUGAAGCAGCUCUCAAUUGGCGCUGCUCCUCUUUGUAGAUUCGGUUCCUACGUUGAUACUCUUUGGAAUGAUGAAGACACUCGAAGUAGUCUUCUCUAAGAAGUACACAGUCCUUGGGCUCCCUGCAUCGAGACAUACACUCACUGAAAUCCAUCCAGAAAUCAUAGCAUCGUCCUUUAUUCCCUGUAAUUCCCCAUCCAGACGCCAUUGGAGUAAACUCUUUCCUCCCUCCUCCCCU
RNAcentral lists this unclassified non-coding RNA (510 nucleotides) under Hevea brasiliensis (rubber tree). The record is from RNAcentral. Lineage: Eukaryota; Viridiplantae; Streptophyta; Magnoliopsida; Malpighiales; Euphorbiaceae.